RNAcentral lists this ribosomal RNA (522 nucleotides) under uncultured bacterium. RNAcentral's name for it is "bacterial SSU rRNA". It matches the Rfam family "Bacterial small subunit ribosomal RNA", at positions 17 to 518 of the family's 1533-position model. The record is from RNAcentral.
UCCUGGCUCAGAACGAACGCUGGCGGCGUGCUUAACACAUGCAAGUCGAACGCGAAAGGGACUUCGGUCCUGAGUAAAGUGGCGCACGGGUGAGUAACGCGUAGAUAACCUGUCUUCAUGUCUGGAAUAAUACGCCGAAAGGGGUACUAAUACCGGAUAUUCUUGCUUUUCAUAAGUUAUGCAAGCAAAGGUGGCCUCUGCAUAUGCUACUGCAUGAAGAGGGGUCUGCGUACCAUUAGCUAGUAGGUGGGGUAAUGGCCUACCUAGGCGACGAUGGUUAGCGGGUCUGAGAGGAUGAUCCGCCACACUGGCACUGGAACACGGGCCAGACUCCUACGGGAGGCAGCAGUGAGGAAUAUUGCGCAAUGGGGGAAACCCUGACGCAGCGACGCCGCGUGAAGUGAGGAAGGCCUUCGGGUCGUAAAGCUCUGUCAAGAGGAAAGAAGUGUACAAUGGCUAAUACCUGUUGUAUUUGACGGUACCUCUAAAGGAAGCACCGACUAACUCCGUGCCAGCCGCCGC